RNAcentral lists this long non-coding RNA (235 nucleotides) under Athene cunicularia (burrowing owl). Its description in RNAcentral is "lncRNA (ENSACUG00000007159.1)". The record is from RNAcentral. Lineage: Eukaryota; Metazoa; Chordata; Aves; Strigiformes; Strigidae.
AGGGUAUUCCAGGACCACAUGGUAAUCCAGGUUUGCCAGGAUUGCCAGGUCCAAAGGGCCCUAAAGGAGACCCAGGAUCCUCUCCAGGACAGGCAAAAUGUGGAGAAAAGGGUGAUCCAGGCCCCAUAGGAUUUCCAGGCCCACCUGGGAUCAAAGGACAGAAGGUAGGAUUCUGCUUGCAUUUUCACGUAACCCUCUCUGGCUCAAAUCAAUGGCUAGCUGGUGGUCAAGAGGU